Long non-coding RNA from Arachis stenosperma, 1059 nucleotides. RefSeq lists it as uncharacterized. The record is from RefSeq and is a predicted model, not a curated record. NCBI's taxonomy places the organism in Eukaryota, Viridiplantae, Streptophyta, Magnoliopsida, Fabales, Fabaceae. The transcript has 3 exons.
UAUUCCUAAUUGAAACUAGAAUCAGACAAAAAGCUUAGAGAGAGAAAAUAUAAAAUAGAGAAGUAGAUUAAGAAGAUUGGGAAUGGUGUCUCUGAUUCUUGAGGAAUUCAUGAACGAAGUACAAGGUUUGGGAUAGAAUUUCUCCAAUCGGCUUAUGCUAUCCUUUAAACAUCCAAAGAUUUAGAUCAAUCCAUACUCCCAAAAGAAUAUUAGCUACUCUAGCUAAGUUAUUCUUGAAGUUCAGUUGUUUCAAUAUAGUUUUCACAAGUUAUAUCUACCAUUGUCAAGGUUGAAACUAUGGGUUGUUGGGGAUCAACCUGUUUAAAGGUUUCAAUUCUCAGAUGUAUCUAGAAGUUGUUUCACCCAAAGGAGAUCAAGGUUUCUAACUUCAUUAGGAGAGAGUCUGAAAGGGGGUUUGAUGAGCGGAUAAUUUGUAUUUUCUGGCUGAAAUUGAGGGACCUGAGCAAAAAUCUGAUUCAGAGACUGAAAAGGACUGCAGAUGCUGUUGGAUUCUGACCUCCCUGCACUCGAAGUGGAUUUUCUGGAGCUACAGAAGCCCAAUUGGCGCGCUCUCAACGGCGUUGGAAAGUAGACAUCCUGGGCUUUUCAGCAAUAUAUAAUAGUCCAUACUUUGCCCAAGAUUUGAUGGCCCAAACCGGCGUUCAAAGUCACCUCAAGAAAUUCCAGCGUUAAACGCCGGAACUGGCACCUAAUUGGGAGUUAAACGCCCAAACUGGCACUAAAGCUGGAGUUUAACUCCAAGAAGAGUCUCUACACGAAAAUGCUUCAUUGCUCAGCCCAAGCACACACCAAGUGGGCCCGGAAGUGGAUUUUUAUGUCAUUUACUCAUCUUUGUACACCUUAGGCUACUAGUUAUCUAUAAGUAGGACCUUUUACUAUUGUAUCUAGAGACUUUGGUAGCUAUCUUCAUUUUAUGCUAUCUUAGACCAUUGGGAGGCUGGCCAUUCGGCCAUGUCUAGACCUUAUGCUUAUGUAUUUUCAACGGUGGAGUUUCUACACACCAUAGAUUAAGGUGUGGAGCUCUGCUGUACCUCGAGU